Molecule: ribosomal RNA, 500 nt
Filed under: uncultured bacterium
Lineage: Bacteria
Description: partial 16S ribosomal RNA
Rfam family: Bacterial small subunit ribosomal RNA
Source: RNAcentral
AUUGGACGCUGGCGGAAUGCUUUACACAUGCAAGUCGAACGGCAGCACGGACUUCGGUCUGGUGGCGAGUGGCGAACGGGUGAGUAAUGUAUUGGAACGUGCCCAGUCGUGGGGGAUAACGUAGUGAAAAUUACGCUAAUACCGCAUACGAUCUAUGGAUGAAAGCGGGGGAUCGCAAGACCUCGCGCGAUUGGAGCGGCCGAUAUCAGAUUAGGUAGUUGGUGGGGUAAAGGCCCACCAAGCCAACGAUCUGUAGCUGGUCUGAGAGGACGACCAGCCACACUGGAACUGAGACACGGUCCAGACUCCUACGGGAGGCAGCAGUGGGGAAUUUUGGACAAUGGGCGAAAGCCUGAUCCAGCCAUUCCGCGUGCAGGAUGAAGGCCCUCGGGUCGUAAACUGCUUUUGUACAGAACGAAAAGGUUUCUACUAAUACUAGGAGCUCAUGACGGUACUGUAAGAAUAAGCACCGGCUAACUGCGUGCCAGCCGCCGCUGUAA